Non-coding RNA from Salmo salar (Atlantic salmon), 428 nucleotides. NCBI's taxonomy places the organism in Eukaryota, Metazoa, Chordata, Actinopteri, Salmoniformes, Salmonidae. The record is from RefSeq and is a predicted model, not a curated record.
AAUAGAACCUAAGGAAGGCGAGUUAGUGCCACUGUACUCAAUAGAACUAAUAGGAGUUAGCAGGGUGAAAAAUGCCCUAAAAUAAGGCCUGUUUUUUCGUGAUUACUUCAAAACUACGGCAAACAGCUGGGACAUAAGCGGUCAGGCCAACCACCGUUGUCUCGUCUGAAAACGUAAUGAUGGUGUUGGAGUCGUGCACGGCCACGCAGUCAUGGAAGAAACCAAACACACACCCCUGUGAGGCCCCGUGUUAAGGAACUUCACUGAUGGAAAGCCAAGCGAAAUAUGUCCUAACCCUGUAGAUGCGGGGAGCACAUGGCUGGAACAACAUCCUUCAGAUGACCUCCAAACAAAAGGUAGCUAGCUAUUUUAACAAAGUAGCUAUCAGCCUAGCGUAACUGUGACUAAUGUUAGUGAAGAUGUAAAUA